AUUACUCCUACGGGAGGCAGCAGUCGAGAAUCUUUCACAAUGGGGGCAACCCUGAUGGAGCGACGCCGCGUGGAGGAUAAGGUCUUCGGAUUGUAAACUCCUGUCAUGUGAGAACAAGGUUGCAGGGUUAAUACCUUUGCAAAUUGAUGGUAUCACAAGAGGAAGAGACGGCUAACUCUGUGCCAGCAGCCGCGGUAAUAAU
RNAcentral lists this ribosomal RNA (202 nucleotides) under uncultured bacterium. Its description in RNAcentral is "partial 16S ribosomal RNA". It matches the Rfam family "Bacterial small subunit ribosomal RNA", at positions 332 to 527 of the family's 1533-position model. The record is from RNAcentral.